AUGCACGGUGGCGCGCUGCCCAGCGGAGAUGCCACCACCGACCCUGCCUCCCCGUACUUCAUCGACGCCGCCCACCCAUACGCGGCCGCCACCACUACUAGAUUUUCCAUUAUAGCCGAGGGUCCAAUCAUCGUCGGAUAUAUAAGUUCACCGUCGGAUACCCUAAUAACCGACGGGUCACCGUCGGCUAUCUCCCGUCGGUCUUGCUUUGUCGGCCAUUACACAUAUAUCCGACGGUACCGUCAGAUAAUAUCUUUUCCAACGGUAAUAGGCCGACGGUUAACCAUAAGACAUAAAUUGAUCAUCAGAAGCUCGACGACACUUAUAGCCGAUGGUUCCCCGCCGGAUAUUUAUUUUCCUACGGUUAUUGCCCCCCGUCAAUUUUCUUAA
This 390-nucleotide ribosomal RNA is filed under the name Triticum aestivum (bread wheat). RNAcentral describes it as "partial small subunit ribosomal RNA". The record is from RNAcentral. Lineage: Eukaryota; Viridiplantae; Streptophyta; Magnoliopsida; Poales; Poaceae.